RNAcentral lists this long non-coding RNA (367 nucleotides) under Capra hircus (goat). RNAcentral's name for it is "lncRNA (ENSCHIG00000004583.1)". Lineage: Eukaryota; Metazoa; Chordata; Mammalia; Artiodactyla; Bovidae. The record is from RNAcentral.
AUCCUGGCACACAAUUUCCUGUGUAAUCUGGUCCCUGCUAUCCCUCCAAGCCCAUUUAUUCCCAAGGUCCCACCUACCCUCUGACAUCUCCCUACACUUGUUUUUCAGUUCCUGUUGCUCAAAACUGGACUUGGAGGCAGCAGACCAUGUGAUUGAAGAAUACAUUCUCCAAAAUAGGCAGUGCAUGAAAAUGGAACACCAACGGGAUGAUGACAGAGCCAGCCUCAGCUACUCUUGUUCCUUGGAAGUCCUCAUAGAAGAAUUGUCAACCAGUUGUCAACCAUUUCAGCUCAUUGGAAGAGCCAAGGCAGUUAGGACUCUAUUAUACCUCAAUGUGGACACAGCUGUGACAGAAUGCAGGGGCUGA